This 492-nucleotide ribosomal RNA is filed under the name uncultured bacterium. RNAcentral's name for it is "partial 16S ribosomal RNA". It matches the Rfam family "Bacterial small subunit ribosomal RNA", at positions 29 to 507 of the family's 1533-position model. The record is from RNAcentral.
AGUGAACGCUGGCGGUAGGCCUAACACAUGCAAGUCGAACGGCAGCACAGUAAGAGCUUGCUCUUACGGGUGGCGAGUGGCGGACGGGUGAGGAAUACAUCGCAAUCUACUUUUUCGUGGGGGACAACGUAGGGAAACUUACGCUAAUACCGCAUACGACCUACGGGUGAAAGCAGGGGAUCUUCGGACCUUGCGCGAUCGAAUGAGCCGAUGUCGGAUUAGCUAGUUGGCGGGGUAAAGGCCCACCAAGGCGACGAUCCGUAGCUGGCCUGAGAGGAUGAUCAGCCACACUGGAACUGAGACACGGUCCAGACUCCUACGGGAGGCAGCAGUGGGGAAUAUUGGACAAUGGGCGCAAGCCUGAUCCAGCCAUACCGCGUGGGUGAAGAAGGUCUUCGGAUUGUAAAGCCCUUUUAUUGGGGAAGAAAAGCAGCAGGUUAAUACCCCGCUGUUUUGACGGUACCCAAAGAAUAAGCACCGGCUAACUUCGUG